Molecule: ribosomal RNA, 28 nt
Filed under: Diaporthe phyllanthicola
Lineage: Eukaryota; Fungi; Ascomycota; Sordariomycetes; Diaporthales; Diaporthaceae
Description: partial 28S ribosomal RNA
Source: RNAcentral
ACCUCGGAUCAGGUAGGAAUACCCGCUG